GACGAACCGUGCGAACGUUAUUCGGAAUCACUGGGCUUAAAGCGCGUGUAGGCGGAAGAGCACGUCGGUCGCUGAAAUCCCCCGGCUCAACCGGGGAACGGGCGCCGAAACGACUUUUCUCGAGGGACGUAGGGGGACCUGGAACUUCCGGUGGAGCGGUGAAAUGCGUUGAGAUCGGAAGGAACGCCCGUGGCGAAAGCGAGGUCCUGGACGUUUUCUGACGCUGAGACGCGAAAGCCAGGGGAGCGAACGGG
This 254-nucleotide ribosomal RNA is filed under the name uncultured Singulisphaera sp. Its description in RNAcentral is "partial 16S ribosomal RNA". It matches the Rfam family "Bacterial small subunit ribosomal RNA", at positions 524 to 776 of the family's 1533-position model. The record is from RNAcentral. Lineage: Bacteria; Pseudomonadati; Planctomycetota; Planctomycetia; Isosphaerales; Isosphaeraceae.